This 497-nucleotide ribosomal RNA is filed under the name uncultured bacterium. RNAcentral's name for it is "partial 16S ribosomal RNA". It matches the Rfam family "Bacterial small subunit ribosomal RNA", at positions 28 to 507 of the family's 1533-position model. The record is from RNAcentral.
GAUGGACGCUGGCGGCGUGCCUAAUACAUGCAAGUCGAGCGAACGGACGAGAAGCUUGCUUCUCUGAUGUUAGCGGCGGACGGGUGAGUAACACGUGGAUAACCUACCUAUAGGACUGGGAUAACUUCGGGAAACCGGAGCUAAUACCGGAUAAUAUUUUGAACCGCAUGGUUCAAAAGUGAAAGACGGUCUUGCUGUCACUUAUAGAUGGAUCCGCGCUGCAUUAGCUAGUUGGUAAGGUAACGGCUUACCAAGGCAACGAUGCAUAGCCGACCUGAGAGGGUGAUCGGCCACACUGGAACUGAGACACGGUCCAGACUCCUACGGGAGGCAGCAGUAGGGAAUCUUCCGCAAUGGGCGAAAGCCUGACGGAGCAACGCCGCGUGAGUGAUGAAGGUCUUCGGAUCGUAAAACUCUGUUAUUAGGGAAGAACAUAUGUGUAAGUAACUGUGCACAUCUUGACGGUACCUAAUCAGAAAGCCACGGCUAACUACGUG